GAUCCUGGCUCGGGAUGAACGCUAGCUACAGGCUUAACACAUGCAAGUCGAGGGGCAUCAGAAAGAAAGCUUGCUUUCUUUGCUGGCGACCGGCGCACGGGUGAGUAACACGUAUCCAACCUGCCCUUUACUCGGGGAUAGCCUUCCGAAAGAAAGAUUAAUACCCGAUGGGAUAAUGAUUCCGCAUGGUUUCAUUAUUAAAGGAUUCCGGUAAAGGAUGGGGAUGCGUUCCAUUAGGUUGUUGGUGAGGUAACGGCU
This 258-nucleotide ribosomal RNA is filed under the name uncultured bacterium. RNAcentral's name for it is "partial 16S ribosomal RNA". It matches the Rfam family "Bacterial small subunit ribosomal RNA", at positions 15 to 265 of the family's 1533-position model. The record is from RNAcentral.